UACGUAGGUGGCAAGCGUUGUCCGGAAUUACUGGGUGUAAAGCGCGUGUAGGCGGCAGGCCAAGUCUGCGGUGAAAGCGCCCGGCUCAACUGGGCGAGGUCCGUGGAAACUGGUCAGCUGGAGGACGGUAGAGGCGAGUGGAAUUCCCGGUGUAGUGGUGGAAUGCGUAGAUAUCGGGAAGAACACCAGUGGCGAAAGCGGCUCUCUGGGGACCACCUGACGCUGAGGCGCGAAAGCGUGGGGAGCGAACCGG
RNAcentral lists this ribosomal RNA (253 nucleotides) under uncultured bacterium. RNAcentral describes it as "partial 16S ribosomal RNA". It matches the Rfam family "Bacterial small subunit ribosomal RNA", at positions 524 to 776 of the family's 1533-position model. The record is from RNAcentral.